Molecule: small RNA, 896 nt
Filed under: Pongo abelii (Sumatran orangutan)
Lineage: Eukaryota; Metazoa; Chordata; Mammalia; Primates; Hominidae
Description: processed transcript
Source: RNAcentral
UCAAACUGGAUCUCCCUCCUCGCGCCUCUGCUGGCCUGGCAUGACUUUCGCCUUGCCCCCAGCCCACCCCUCACCUCACGCGGAUUGGGGGGUCCUCACGCCAGGCCGGAGCUGGACGCCAUGACCAGACUUCAACAUCUCAAGCCUCUCUGGUCUGUUGUCCCCGGCGCUAACGGAGAGACUGCUGGUUGCCUUGCCCCCCUGUCACCUCACAGGAGGCAAUGCCACACUGAUAGUCCGGAGAGCCAAUGACAGCAAAGUGGUGACAUCCAGCUUUGUGGUGCCUCCGUGCCGUGGGCGCAGGGAACUGGUGAGUGUGGUGGACAGUGGUGCUGGCUUCACAGUCACUCGGCUCAGUGCAUACCAGCAUUUCCUACCUAGUGAAGAAGGGGACAGCCACUGAAUCCAGCAGAGAGAUCCCAAUGUCCACACUCCCUCGGAGGACCAUGGAAUCCAUUGGGCUGGGCAUGGCCCGCACAGGGGGCAUGGUGGUCAUCACGGUGCUGCUCUCCGUUGCCAUGUUCCUGCUGGUGCUGGGCUUCAUCAUUGCCCUGGCACUGGGCUCCCACAAGUGAGGAGGUCUGCCUGGAGCAGCGGCUUCUCCAGGAAGCCCAGGGCACCGUCCGGCUCUCCAGCCCACCUGCUCCCAGGCCCCAGGCCUGUGGCUCCCUUGGUGCCCUCGCCUCCUCCUCCUGCCCUCCUCUCCCCUAGAGCCUUCUCCUCGCUCUGUCCCUCUCCUUGCCCCCAGUGCCUCACCUUCCAACACUCCGUUAUUCCUCUCACCCCACUCCUGUCAGAGUUGACUUUCCUCCCAUUUUACCACUUUAAACACCCCCAUAACAAUUCCCCCAUCCUUCAGUGAACUAAGUCCCUAUAAUAAAGGCUGAGGCUGCAUC